AUGUCCUUGAGGAUCACCCACCGCCGGGACCCACGGGCGGACGAUGAGGACGACGAGGAGGAGGCCGACGAGGACGAGGAGGAGCGCGACGAGGCGGUGACCGGCGGCGGGGCCUCCUGCGGCCCAGUCGAGAGGGACACGGAGCCAAGAUCCGGCGCGGGGACGAGCGCACCGAGCAGUUUGAACCGCGGGGACGGGCUGCGCAUCGGGGACAUCGACCGGGCGCGGCGGUGCACGGAGCCGCUCCGGAACGUGGGCUCGCGGCCGCGCGCGGGACCGUGCCGCCGUUCGCUGUCAUCUUCGUCGCUGUCGGGGUCGAGAUCCGGGAGCGGGGACAGGGUGAGCGGCCGGAUCUGGCCGUUCUGGAAGAGCUCGUCAGCAGAGAUCAUGUGCUCGCCAGGGCCGCCGAACUCGAACUCCGCGUCACCUAGUCCACCGUACCCGCCGCCAUUAGGGGCACCAGCGGCAGCGGAGGAGGACGAGAACAGCAGGUGGUGGAUGGGGCUGGCCGGUGCACUGAAAAAAUAG
This 528-nucleotide ribosomal RNA is filed under the name Triticum aestivum (bread wheat). RNAcentral describes it as "partial small subunit ribosomal RNA". The record is from RNAcentral. Lineage: Eukaryota; Viridiplantae; Streptophyta; Magnoliopsida; Poales; Poaceae.